CCUACGGGUGGCAGCAGUGAGGAAUAUUGGUCAAUGGCCGGAAGGCUGAACCAGCCAAGCCGCGUGAAGGACGAAGGUGCCAAGCAUUGUAAACUUCUUUUGUCAAGGGACAAAAUCAGGCUCGAGAGCCUGACCGAGGGUACUUGAAGAAAAAGCAUCGGCUAACUCCGUGCCAGCAGCCGCGGUAAUACGGAGGAUGCGAGCGUUAUCCGGAUUUAUUGGGUUUAAAGGGUGCGUAGGCGGACUGUUAAGUCAGCGGUAAAAGCCCGGGGCUCAACCGUAAAAUUGCAGUUGAAACUGGCAGUCUUGAGUACAGUAGAGGUGGGCGGAAUUCGUGGUGUAGCGGUGAAAUGCUUAGAUAUCACGAAGAACUCCGAUUGCGAAGGCAGCUCACUGGACUGCAACUGACACUGAUGCUCGAAAGUGUGGGUAUCAAACAGGAUUAGAUACCCCUGUAGUC
This 460-nucleotide ribosomal RNA is filed under the name uncultured bacterium. RNAcentral's name for it is "partial 16S ribosomal RNA". It matches the Rfam family "Bacterial small subunit ribosomal RNA", at positions 338 to 795 of the family's 1533-position model. The record is from RNAcentral.